CGAGUGGCGGACGGGUGAGUAAUGUCUGGGAAACUGCCUGAUGGAGGGGGAUAACUACUGGAAACGGUAGCUAAUACCGCAUAAUGUCGCAAGACCAAAGAGGGGGACCUUCGGGCCUCUUGCCAUCAGAUGUGCCCAGAUGGGAUUAGCUAGUAGGUGGGGUAACGGCUCACCUAGGCGACGAUCCCUAGCUGGUCUGAGAGGAUGACCAGCCACACUGGAACUGAGACACGGUCCAGACUCCUACGGGAGGCAGCAGUGGGGAAUAUUGCACAAUGGGCGCAAGCCUGAUGCAGCCAUGCCGCGUGUAUGAAGAAGGCCUUCGGGUUGUAAAGUACUUUCAGCGGGGAGGAAGGUGUUGUGGUUAAUAACCACAGCAAUUGACGUUACCCGCAGAAGAAGCACCGGCUAACUCCGUGCCAGCAGCCGCGGUAAUACGGAGGGUGCAAGCGUUAAUCGGAAUUACUGGGCGUAAAGCGCACGCAGGCGGUCUGUCAAGUCGGAUGUGAAAUCCCCGGGCUCAACCUGGGAACUGCAUUCGAAACUGGCAGGCUGGAGUCUUGUAGAGGGGGGUAGAAGAACCUUACCUGGUCUUGACAUCCACAGAACUUUCCAGAGAUGGAUUGGUGCCUUCGGGAACUGUGAGACAGGUGCUGCAUGGCUGUCGUCAGCUCGUGUUGUGAAAUGUUGGGUUAAGUCCCGCAACGAGCGCAACCCUUAUCCUUUGUUGCCAGCGGUUAGGCCGGGAACUCAAAGGAGACUGCCAGUGAUAAACUGGAGGAAGGUGGGGAUGACGUCAAGUCAUCAUGGCCCUUACGACCAGGGCUACACACGUGCUACAAUGGCGCAUACAAAGAGAAGCGACCUCGCGAGAGCAAGCGGACCUCAUAAAGUGCGUCGUAGUCCGGAUUGGAGUCUGCAACUCCGACUCCAUGA
This 936-nucleotide ribosomal RNA is filed under the name Alcaligenes faecalis. Its description in RNAcentral is "bacterial SSU rRNA". It matches the Rfam family "Bacterial small subunit ribosomal RNA", at positions 92 to 1323 of the family's 1533-position model. The record is from RNAcentral. Lineage: Bacteria; Pseudomonadati; Pseudomonadota; Betaproteobacteria; Burkholderiales; Alcaligenaceae.